This 85-nucleotide transfer RNA is filed under the name Thermoflexales bacterium. RNAcentral's name for it is "tRNA-Ser". It matches the Rfam family "tRNA". Rfam says of the family: Transfer RNA (tRNA) molecules are approximately 80 nucleotides in length. The record is from RNAcentral. Lineage: Bacteria; Bacillati; Chloroflexota; Thermoflexia; Thermoflexales.
GGAGGGGUGGCCGAGUGGACGAAGGCGACGGUCUUGAAAACCGUUGUGGCGCAAGUCACCGUGGGUUCGAAUCCCACCCCCUCCG